CGCCUGCGUCAAAUACUCCAACGACGGCACCCUUCUGGCCUCGGCGUCCCUCGACAAGACCGUAAUCCUCUGGUCCGCCUCCACCCUAACCCUUUUCCGCCGCCUUUUCGGCCACUCCGAAGGCAUCUCCGACCUUGCCUGGUCUUCCGACUCCCACUACAUCUGCUCCGCCUCCGAUGAUCGGACCCUCCGUAUCUGGGACGCCCGCUCCCCCUCCGGCGAGUGCGUCAAGACCCUCCGCGGCCACUCCGACCGCGUCUUCUGCGUCAAUUUCAAUCCCCAGUCCCACCUCAUCGUCUCCGGCUCUUUCGACGAAACGAUGCGUAUUUGGGAGGUCAAGACCGGGAAGUGCCUCCACGCUAUCCGGGCUCACUCGAUGCCUCUGACCUCCGUGAGCUUCAAUCGCGACGGUUCGAUUGUCGUCUCCGCCAGCCACGACGGGUCCUGUAAGAUUUGGGACACCGAGUCGGGGACUCUGC
Molecule: long non-coding RNA, 479 nt
Filed under: Malus domestica (apple)
Lineage: Eukaryota; Viridiplantae; Streptophyta; Magnoliopsida; Rosales; Rosaceae
Description: long non-coding RNA (MDOM_LNC003418)
Source: RNAcentral